ACACAUGCAGUCGAACGCUGAAGCCUGGUGCUUGCACCGGGUGGAUGAGUGGCGAACGGGUGAGUAACACGUGAGUAACCUGCCCCUGACUUCGGGAUAAGCCCGGGAAACUGGGUCUAAUACCGGAUACGACUGCCGGACGCAUGUCUGGUGGUGGAAAGUUUUUUCGGUUGGGGAUGGGCUCGCGGCCUAUCAGUUUGUUGGUGAGGUAAUGGCUCACCAAGACGACGACGGGUAGCCGGCCUGAGAGGGCGACCGGCCACACUGGGACUGAGACACGGCCCAGACUCCUACGGGAGGCAGCAGUGGGGAAUAUUGCACAAUGGGGGAAACCCUGAUGCAGCGACGCAGCGUGCGGGAUGACGGCCUUCGGGUUGUAAACCGCUUUCAGCAGGGAAGAAGCGCAAGUGACGGUACCUGCAGAAGAAGUACCGGCUAACUACGUGCCAGCAGCCGCGGUAAUACGUAGGGUACGAGCGUUGUCCGGAAUUAUUGGGCGUAAAGAGCUCGUAGGUGGUUGGUCACGUCUGCUGUGGAAACGCAACGCUUAACGUUGCGCGUGCAGUGGGUACGGGCUGACUAGAGUGCAGUAGGGGAGUCUGGAAUUCCUGGUGUAGCGGUGAAAUGCGCAGAUAUCAGGAGGAACACCGGUGGCGAAGGCGGGACUCUGGGCUGUAACUGACACUGAGGAGCGAAAGCAUGGGGAGCGAACAGGAUUAGAUACCCUGGUAGUCCAUGCCGUAAACGUUGGGCACUAGGUGUGGGGGGCAUUCCACGUUCUCCGCGCCGUAGCUAACGCAUUAAGUGCCCCGCCUGGGGAGUACGGUCGCAAGGCUAAAACUCAAAGGAAUUGACGGGGGCCCGCACAAGCGGCGGAGCAUGCGGAUUAAUUCGAUGCAACGCGAAGAACCUUACCAAGGCUUGACAUACACCGGACCGUCCUGGAAACAGGUCCUCUUCUUUGAAGCUGGUGUACAGGUGGUGCAUGGUUGUCGUCAGCUCGUGUCGUGAGAUGUUGGGUUAAGUCCCGCAACGAGCGCAACCCUCGUUCUAUGUUGCCAGCACGUGAUGGUGGGAACUCAUAGGAGACUGCCGGGGUCAACUCGGAGGAAGGUGGGGAUGACGUCAAAUCAUCAUGCCCUUUAUGUCUUGGGCUUCACGCAUGCUACAAUGGCUGGUACAGAGAGAGGCGAACCCGUGAGGGCAAGCGAAUCCCUUAAAGCCAGUCUCAGUUCGGAUCGUAGUCUGCAAUUCGACUACGUGAAGUCGGAGUCGCUAGUAAUCGCAGAUCAGCAACGCUGCGGUGAAUACGUUCCCGGGCCUUGUACACACCGCCCGUCAAGUCACGAAAGUCGGUAACACCCGAAGCCGGUGGCCUAACCGUAAGGAGGGGCCGUCUAAG
This 1402-nucleotide ribosomal RNA is filed under the name Brevibacterium sp. NCCP-92. Its description in RNAcentral is "16S ribosomal RNA". It matches the Rfam family "Bacterial small subunit ribosomal RNA". Lineage: Bacteria; Bacillati; Actinomycetota; Actinomycetes; Micrococcales; Brevibacteriaceae. The record is from RNAcentral.